RNAcentral lists this ribosomal RNA (740 nucleotides) under uncultured marine bacterium. RNAcentral's name for it is "bacterial SSU rRNA". It matches the Rfam family "Bacterial small subunit ribosomal RNA", at positions 9 to 795 of the family's 1533-position model. The record is from RNAcentral.
GAGUUUGAUCCUGGCUCAGAACGAACGCUGGCGGCAGGCCUAACACAUGCAAGUCGAGCGCGCCUUUCGGGGUGAGCGGCGGACGGGUUAGUAACGCGUGGGAAUAUGCCCAAAGGUACGGAAUAGCCUCUGGAAACGGAGAGUAAUACCGUAUGUGCCCUUCGGGGGAAAGAUUUAUCGCCUUUGGAUUAGCCCGCGUUAGAUUAGGUAGUUGGUGGGGUAAUGGCCUACCAAGCCUACGAUCUAUAGCUGGUUUUAGAGGAUGAUCAGCAACACUGGGACUGAGACACGGCCCAGACUCCUACGGGAGGCAGCAGUGGGGAAUCUUGGACAAUGGGGGCAACCCUGAUCCAGCCAUGCCGCGUGAGUGAUGAAGGCCUUAGGGUCGUAAAGCUCUUUCGCCUGUGAAGAUAAUGACGGUAGCAGGUGAAGAAACCCCGGCUAACUCCGUGCCAGCAGCCGCGGUAAUACGGAGGGGGUUAGCGUUGUUCGGAAUUACUGGGCGUAAAGCGCACGUAGGCGGAUCGGAAAGUUGGGGGUGAAAUCCCGGGGCUCAACCCCGGAACUGCCUCCAAAACUAUCGGUCUAGAGUUCGAGAGAGGUGAGUGGAAUUCCGAGUGUAGAGGUGAAAUUCGUAGAUAUUCGGAGGAACACCAGUGGCGAAGGCGGCUCACUGGCUCGAUACUGACGCUGAGGUGCGAAAGUGUGGGGAGCAAACAGGAUUAGAUACCCUGGUAGUC